UAAAUAUGUUUUCUGAUUUUCUUUAUUUUUGGCAUCAUUGCUCGCGUACCCUGCAAAAGUUUUUUCUUUUCACAAUGUGCAGGUUGUAACAUCAAAAUCAGCCAAUCAGAAACUGGUCCAUUUUGGAACAAAAGCAGCCCCCCCAGAUGUCAGGUCUUGUCUUAGGGUAUAACGAAGCGAGAAAAAGCAACCUGGCAACGUUGCUAGACUCCUUCCAUUAUUGUCAAAACAAAAUGAGCAAAACGAUAGAAAUGUACCCGUCGAAUUCUGCCUAAUGGAUUAUGAACUACGAAAAGCCGAUUUAGAGCGAAAAGCGAAAGUUUUCUGUAAAUGUACUAAAAUCAAUCAUACAAAGUGAAAUGGAGGUUUGUUUUGCACGAGAUGGGAUACUAGAAACGCAAGAAACAGAAAACAGUUCUGUAGCCUUUUCCUCAUCAUCCGCUCCAACAAUCGAUUCGCCAAUAAAACUCGAAUAUGAGAUUGGUGAUGAGGAAUUCACACAAAAUAGUGAUCUUCAUCUCGAAUAUCAGAUUUGUGAUGAGGAAUUCACACAAAAGAGUGACCAUAAAGACGUCUUAGUACCGAAAGAGGAACAGAUUUACAGUUGCGAAAUUUGCGAGAAACAAUUUUCUUCGAAGAAUGCCCUGAAGCAGCACAUGAUCGUUCAUACUGAAGACAAACCAUUUCAGUGUAAUGUGUGUGGCAAAGGAUUCCAGUAUUAUCAUAAAUUAAAGGACCACAGCAAUAUUCACACUGGUGAACGUCCCUACAGUUGCACUGUAUGCGAAAAAAAAUUUUCCAUGAAGCGUUACCUAACUAAACACAUGGCUAAUCACCAAAGUGAGUACAAAUAUAAAUGCGAAGUGUGUGGCAAAGGCUUUAAUAAUGGUGGUAAUCUCGCGAGUCACCAACGCAUUCAUACGAACGAAAAGUUAAAAUGCACCAUUUGCGAGAAAGAUUAUUCCAAUAAGUAUUAUCUCAGCAGACACAUGAAAAUUCACGUGGAUGGCUUCGAGCGUAAGUGUGAUGUGUGUGGCAAAGUAUUUGUGACCAGAUUACGCUUGGAAGAUCAUAAACGCCUUCAUACAGGAGAGAGACCGUUCAAAUGUACUGUAUGUGGAAAAGAUUUCUCGACUAAGGUUUACUUAACUAAACACAUGUCUAUUCACCAAAGUGAGUUCAAAUAUAAAUGCGAAGUGUGUGGCAAAGCCUGGAAUAAUUGUGUUAACCUAUCGAAACACAAACGCAUUCAUACAAACGAGAAGUUUGAAUGCACUAUAUGCGAGAAAGAUUUUUCCAAUAAGUAUAAUCUCAGCGCACACAUGAAAAUCCACAUGGAUGAUUACGAGCAUAAGUGUGAUGUGUGCGGCAAAGGAUUCACCUGCAAAUCACUUUUGAAAGACCACGAAAAUAUUCACACCGGUGAACGGCCUUACAAGUGCACCGUAUGUGGGAAAGAUUUCGUCGUUUUGGCUUACCUAAAAAAACACAUGCUUACUCACACGGAUGAUUACAAUAAUAAGUGUGACGUUUGUGGCAAAGGUUUUGUGACCAGGAAUCUUCUGAAAGAUCAUAAACGCUGUCAUACAGGAGAGCGACCGUACAAAUGCACUGUAUGUGGGAAAGCUUUCGCGUCUAAAACUUACCUAUCCAGACACAGGUCUAUUCACGAAAGGGAUUACAAGUACAGGUGUGAAGUGUGUGGUAAAGGCAUGAACGAUAGUUCUGGCUUCGCAAAACACAAAAGCCUUCAUACGAACGAGAAGUAAAUUUAUCAUAUGCGGAAGAGAUUUUAGCUCUAAGAUUGGCCAAGGAUUCACAAAAGCAAACAUUUAGAGGUAGUUUUGAAACUUAUAUUGAGAAAUCGUUUUGUUCAUUUUUCAAGAGCACUUAUUUUUAGACAAAUAAAUUUUGCCGCUCUAUCACCUAAGUUCGAUGUUUGGAUAAUUUUUCU
Molecule: RNA transcript, 1954 nt
Organism: Malaya genurostris
Lineage: Eukaryota; Metazoa; Arthropoda; Insecta; Diptera; Culicidae
Gene name: zinc finger protein OZF-like
Exons: 3
Source: RefSeq, a predicted model, not a curated record